Homo sapiens (human) is the source of this 965-nucleotide long non-coding RNA. Ensembl annotates it as long intergenic non-protein coding RNA 879. The record is from Ensembl. NCBI's taxonomy places the organism in Eukaryota, Metazoa, Chordata, Mammalia, Primates, Hominidae.
AGAAGUCCAGGGCUAGGAGCCUCAGCCGGCGGACGCCAGGAAACAGGCUCCCUCUGCAGUGGAAUUACCCUUAUGUCUUUUCUGUCUAUGCUGAUCCACCUGAUCUUGAACUGGUGCUAUUCCAUGGGGAAAAUUGGAACAUGGGGCAAUUAACACUUUCUCCACUUUAUCCCAUCAACAGGAAAUUGAAAUAUAACCAACUAACUCAGGAGACAUCAUGGAAGAUGUCACACAGUGAAUGAUGAUGAAGCAGAAUUUUUAAAAUGUGUAGGAUUACGAGAAGUGGGGUCAUUUUUCUUUGUGUAUGGUAUUGCUGAUGCAGUUUAAUGCUCCAUUACUUCUAAAUUUUCAUCAUAAGCUAGAUUUUCCAGUUGUGGUUUCUAUAAAGAAAAACAAACAUUCUGAAGACAGUUUUUCCAGAUUUAUUCCAGAUAUCGAUGAUUAACUUUUGAAGGAAAUAGUCACAGCCACCCCAGCCUUAAGUAACCACCACCCUGCUCACUCAACAACAAUGAACACUGAGGCAAGACUCUCCACUAGCAAAAAGAUUAUGACUUGUUGAAGACUCAGAUAAUUAAAUAUCUGAAUGAAAUGCUCAUGAAAGGAUUAAGAAAGUCUGCAGUUGAGCCUGGAGCCAGCAAAAGACAUCAUCACUAAAAGUAUAUGCAUGACCCGCAUUUGUUGCCUUUAUGGUCCUUACCCAAGAUAUUUGAAUUCACCAGAAUGGUCUUAAUAUGGUAUUGUAAGUACCUGGAUCUGAAAACCAUUAAGUAUGAGAGUGCGCUGUAUUGGUGAUGCCAGUUUGUGGACUCCUUAUGUAAAUAAAUGAAGGACAAGUUAAAAACUGCAGUCACUCAUGUGAAAUAUAAAAGGCUGGCAGAAUACGGCUAAAUGUCGAGGUCUAGCCCAAUGUGUGAGAUUUAGAGAAAUCAUGUAUUCCAAUAAAAUCAGAUAUACUCCUGAAA